AGGGCGCUUUGGUGUUGGCUGCGGCCCAAGUUCCUUGGAACAGGACAUCGCGGAGGGUGAGAAUCCCGUACGUGGCCGCGUGCCUUCGCCGUGUAAAGCCCCUUCGACGAGUCGAGUUGUUUGGGAAUGCAGCUCUAAUUGGGAGGUAAAUUUCUUCUAAAGCUAAAUACUGGCCAGAGACCGAUAGCGCACAAGUAGAGUGAUCGAAAGAUGAAAAGCACUUUGGAAAGAGAGUCAAAAAGCACGUGAAAUUGUUGAAAGGGAAGCGCUUGCAGCCAGACAUGCCCGUGGCUGCUCAUCCAGACCCCCCAAGGUCUGGUGCACUCUCCCACGGGCAGGCCAGCAUCGGUUUGAGCGGUUGGAUAAAGGCUCUGGGAAUGUAGCUCCCCUUUGGGGAGUGUUAUAGCCCGUUGCGGAAUGCAGCCAGCUCGGACCGAGGCCCGCGCGCAUGCUAGGAUGCUGGCGUAAUGGCUGUAAGCGGCCCGUCUUGAAACACGGACCAAGG
RNAcentral lists this ribosomal RNA (505 nucleotides) under Posidoniomyces atricolor. Its description in RNAcentral is "partial large subunit ribosomal RNA". It matches the Rfam family "Eukaryotic large subunit ribosomal RNA", at positions 156 to 671 of the family's 3401-position model. Lineage: Eukaryota; Fungi; Ascomycota; Dothideomycetes; Pleosporales; Aigialaceae. The record is from RNAcentral.